RNAcentral lists this ribosomal RNA (433 nucleotides) under uncultured bacterium. RNAcentral's name for it is "partial 16S ribosomal RNA". It matches the Rfam family "Bacterial small subunit ribosomal RNA", at positions 29 to 507 of the family's 1533-position model. The record is from RNAcentral.
AACGAACGCUGGCGGCAUGCCUAACACAUGCAAGUCGAACGAGACCUUCGGGUCUAGUGGCGCACGGGGGCGUAACGCGUGGGAACCUGCCCUUAGGUUCGGAAUAACUCCCCGAAAGGGGUACUAAUACCGGAUAAUGUCUUCGGCCCAAAGAUUUAUCGCUUUUGUAUGGGCCCGCGUUGGAUUCGGUAGUUGGUAGGGUAAAAGCCUACCAAGGCGACGAUCAAUAGCUGGUUUGAGAGAAUGAUCAGCCACACUGGGACUGAGACACGGCCCAGACUCCUACGGGAGGCAGCAGUGGGGAAUAUUGGACAGUGGGCGAAAGCCUGAUCCAGCAAUGCCGCGUGAGUGAUGAAGGCCUUAGGGUUGUAAAGCUCUUUUACCCGUGAUGAUAAUGACAGUACCGGGAGAAUAAGCUCCGGCUAACUCCGUG